This 446-nucleotide ribosomal RNA is filed under the name uncultured bacterium. RNAcentral's name for it is "SSU rRNA". It matches the Rfam family "Bacterial small subunit ribosomal RNA", at positions 26 to 518 of the family's 1533-position model. The record is from RNAcentral.
AGAACGAACGCUGGCGGCAGGCCUCAAACAUGCAAGUCUAGGGGUGUAGCAAUACACACCGGCGGACGGGUGCGUAACGCGUGGGAACAUACCUUUCGGUACGGAACAACCCAGGGAAACUUGGGCUAAUACCGUAUACGUCCUAACGGAGAAAGAUUUAUCGCCGAAGGAUUGGCCCGCGUUCGAUUAGCUAGUUGGUGGGGUAACGGCUCACCAAGGCGACGAUCGAUAGCUGUUCUGAGAGGAAGAUCAGCCACACUGGGACUGAGACACGGCCCAGACUCCUACGGGAGGCAGCAGUUGGGAAUCUUGGACAAUGGGGGAAACCCUGAUCCAGCCAUGCCGCGUGAGUGAUGAAGGCCUUCGGGUUGUAAAACUCUUUCGACGGGGACGAUAAUGACGGUACCCGUAGAAGAAGCUCCGGCUAACUUCGUGCCAGCAGCCGC